RNAcentral lists this long non-coding RNA (1161 nucleotides) under Zonotrichia albicollis (white-throated sparrow). Its description in RNAcentral is "lncRNA (ENSZALG00000005423.1)". The record is from RNAcentral. Lineage: Eukaryota; Metazoa; Chordata; Aves; Passeriformes; Passerellidae.
GGCGGUGAAUGCCCUCGGAAAGCCUGCAGCCCUUCCCAUUGCAAAACAGGCGAAUUUACCUCGGUCACUGCGUGCACUGACGCACUGGAAACGGGGGUUUCCCUCUGUCACACGUGCGCAGAUCUAUUCCUUUUUUAUUUUUUUCCAAGACCACCAGUCCAGUUGCCCUGAACCUGCUCAUAGUAAUUCACAUUAAUCACGACAAUUCCAUCAUCUUGUAUGUAAUGUAUUCAACUUGUAUCCAUUAUUGUGGCAUCUAAGUAGUCCCCAAUAUUUAUUUCUCAUCAUAGCAGUUUGAAGAGAGAUAGAAGAGUUUCCUUUCCCAUGUCAGAGGAGGGAAGUUAAGGCACAGGCAAAUUAAAUGCCAUGUCUGUAGCUACACAAAAUGUUGGACAGGUCCAAGUCCCUAAAAAUUAUAUACUGAAAUAAUGUACUGAAUUCCUCUACUCCUCUCUCUGUUGAGAGUUUUACAUAUAGCAAUAAUGAAGUUUAAUGUGUUUAUUCGUAAAAGAAAUGUAACUCCAAAGCCACAAACGUUAUCAAAAUACAUUCAUUUUGAAUUUCAUUUCUAGAUUCUUGUUGCUGUAAUUCAAGUUCAAUGCCUGACCACAGGUAGUACAUCAUGAUAAUGGUAAGAGUACCUGAAUGUCAACACCUGGUUAGCCCAUAGCAAACAGAAGGAACAGCAGUGGGAAUGCAGAAAACAGCAACGUGUUCUUGUGUACAGGAGAUACACUCCCUGUGCACAGCACACAUCUGAAACACAACUCCAGUGGCAGAAACACAAGGAAGAUACCAUGGAUAUUUUAUUCAGAAACUUCUGACCACAUCCCAGUUCUAAUCUUCUGGCUCUUUGUUUUCAGGAAGUUAUCACCUGAAAUCUCAUUUCCUUAUUUUCGUUCUCUUGUCCAGAGCAAUUUGUUAAGCACAGAGCAAUUUCUCAUCAGAUAUCUCCAAAGUACUUCCUCUCAAACCAAUCUGUCUGAAGUUCUCAGUGCAGCCAAGAAACCACACACCUUCACAAGUAUUCCAGUGCUGAUUGUUUCAAUCCAUUGAACAGAGACAAGGAAUUUAGCAUUUGCUGGGACCAGUGGAACCAUUAGUGCCGCCAUAACUAUUGGAACCAUCGGCAGGAACCGUGGCUGAAUACAGACUACAGGC